CCAUGUGUAGCGGUGAAAUGCGCAGAGAUAUGGAGGAACACCAGUGGCGAAGGCGACUUUCUGGUCUGUAACUGACGCUGAUGUGCGAAAGCGUGGGGAUCAAACAGGAUUAGAUACCCUGGUAGUCCACGCCGUAAACGAUGAGUGCUAAGUGUUAGGGGGUUUCCGCCCCUUAGUGCUGCAGCUAACGCAUUAAGCACUCCGCCUGGGGAGUACGACCGCAAGGUUGAAACUCAAAGGAAUUGACGGGGACCCGCACAAGCGGUGGA
RNAcentral lists this ribosomal RNA (269 nucleotides) under Staphylococcus aureus. RNAcentral's name for it is "partial 16S ribosomal RNA". It matches the Rfam family "Bacterial small subunit ribosomal RNA", at positions 669 to 936 of the family's 1533-position model. The record is from RNAcentral. Lineage: Bacteria; Bacillati; Bacillota; Bacilli; Caryophanales; Staphylococcaceae.